AGCUAGGACAGGGAAGCUGGCCGUCCUACAGCUGAAGCUGGGAUGACUUAUAGCUGUACCAGAUUUAUGAGGUGUUAGAAACAGCUUCUUUUAAGUGCUAAGGCUGGUCCUUUUCCUGGUCCUCUUUACUGCUUAGAGCUUUUCCCUAGAAAAAAGUUAUAGCUUCAGGAUGACUAUGGCCUGGAAAUCAGCAGUCAGUGACAUCUCCUUUAAUGGUCCUGGAAGUUUUAUAGAGCUGUCCAACUGAUCUGCUCUACAAGACUGUGUCUAAUCCUCUCUGUCAGAAGUGGGAGAGAGACUACAUUGCAUGACUUUCUUGGUCAGAACUCCCAGCUCAAAUACCUUGUGUAACUGCAGCACUGCAAUAAUACCUUCUAAGCCCAAGUCAUGGUGUGAGUUCAUUGGACAGAAACAAGUUGGAGGUAAAAGUUCUUCAGUGCAAAUCUCAUAUAUUGGUGUUAGAAAACAAGGAGGGAGUAUUUGAAAGAAAGGAGAAACAGCUUUCACUUUGCUGUCUUAAACUGAAAUGAGUUUUUGAUGGGCAUAAAACAAAAUUGA
This is a long non-coding RNA of Hirundo rustica (Barn swallow), 558 nucleotides long. RefSeq lists it as uncharacterized. Lineage: Eukaryota; Metazoa; Chordata; Aves; Passeriformes; Hirundinidae. The record is from RefSeq and is a predicted model, not a curated record. The transcript has 3 exons.